UACGGAGGGUGCAAGCGUUAUCCGGAUUCACUGGGUUUAAAGGGUGCGUAGGUGGGCAGGUAAGUCAGUGGUGAAAUCUCCGGGCUUAACCCGGAAACUGCCGUUGAUACUAUCUGUCUUGAAUGUCGUGGAGGCAGGCGGAAUAUGUCAUGUAGCGGUGAAAUGCUUAGAUAUGACAUAGAACACCAAUUGCGAAGGCAGCUUGCUACACGAUGAUUGACACUGAGGCACGAAAGCGUGGGGAUCAAACAGG
RNAcentral lists this ribosomal RNA (253 nucleotides) under uncultured bacterium. RNAcentral's name for it is "partial 16S ribosomal RNA". It matches the Rfam family "Bacterial small subunit ribosomal RNA", at positions 524 to 776 of the family's 1533-position model. The record is from RNAcentral.